RNAcentral lists this non-coding RNA (192 nucleotides) under Staphylococcus pseudintermedius. RNAcentral's name for it is "T-box sequence". It matches the Rfam family "T-box leader". From Rfam's summary of the family: Uncharged tRNA acts as the effector for transcription antitermination of genes in the T-box leader family. The record is from RNAcentral. Lineage: Bacteria; Bacillati; Bacillota; Bacilli; Caryophanales; Staphylococcaceae.
GUGGUCGUACUGGACUGGAGUAGUAACUUAAAAGGGUUUCCACAGAGAGUUAGUGGUGGUGCGAACUAACGAAAAACUUUAAGUGAACUUGCCAAUAAAUAAUGAAAAAUAAAUGACAUCUCUUACUAUUUAAAAUGAAGUGCACUUCUAGGAGUGAAUGAGGGUGGUACCGCGGCAAAAGUCGUCCCUUAG